CACGUAGUUAGCCGUGGCUUAUUCGUCAGGUACCGUCACUUGCUUCGUCCCUGACAAAAGAAGUUUACAACCCGAAAGCCUUCUUCCUUCACGCGGCGUUGCUGGGUCAGGCUUUCGCCCAUUGCCCAAUAUUCCCCACUGCUGCCUCCCGUAGGAGUCUGGGCCGUGUCUCAGUCCCAAUGUGGCCGGCCAACCUCUCAGUCCGGCUACUGAUCGUCGCCUUGGUGGGCCGUUGCCCCACCAACUAGCUAAUCAGACGCGAGUCCAUCUCAGAGCGAUAAAUCUUUGACGUCCAGUGCCAUGCGACACAGACGUUUUAUGCGGUAUUAGCAGCUGUUUCCAGCUGUUAUUCCCCACUCCAAGGCAGGUUACUCACGCGUUACUCACCCGUCCGCCACUAGGGAUUCCCUUCCGUUGUCCGAAAACUCCUUCAGGGGUCCCCCGUUCGACUUGCAUGUGUUAAGCACGCCGCCAGCGUUCAUCCUGAGCCAGGAUCAAACUCU
Molecule: ribosomal RNA, 503 nt
Filed under: uncultured Oscillospiraceae bacterium
Lineage: Bacteria; Bacillati; Bacillota; Clostridia; Eubacteriales; Oscillospiraceae
Description: partial 16S ribosomal RNA
Source: RNAcentral